UUGUGUUAGGGAUAGUAGCGGCAUCCUUUUUUGCUUUCUACAGAAGUAGAACUAAUAAGCAAAAAGAUAUAGCGAAUAGCCCGACCCAAA
RNAcentral lists this small RNA (90 nucleotides) under Mesonia phycicola. Its description in RNAcentral is "Mesonia sp. MDSW-25 Flavo-1 RNA". It matches the Rfam family "Flavo-1 RNA". Lineage: Bacteria; Pseudomonadati; Bacteroidota; Flavobacteriia; Flavobacteriales; Flavobacteriaceae. The record is from Rfam by way of RNAcentral.